CCUACGGGGGGCUGCAGUGGGGAAUAUUAGACAAUGGGGGGAACCCUGAUCCAGCCAUGCCGCGUGUGUGAAGAAGGCCCUCGGGUUGUAAAGCACUUUCAGUGAGGAAGAACGCCUGGUGGUUAAUACCCAUCAGGAAAGACAUCACUCACAGAAGAAGCACCGGCUAACUCCGUGCCAGCAGCCGCGGUAAUACGGAGGGUGCGAGCGUUAAUCGGAAUUACUGGGCGUAAAGCGCGCGUAGGUGGCUUGAUAAGCCGGUUGUGAAAGCCCCGGGCUCAACCUGGGAACGGCAUCCGGAACUGUCAAGCUAGAGUGCAGGAGAGGAAGGUAGAAUUCCCGGUGUAGCGGUGAAAUGCGUAGAGAUCGGGAGGAAUACCAGUGGCGAAGGCGGCCUUCUGGACUGACACUGACACUGAGGUGCGAAAGCGUGGGUAGCAAACAGGAUUAGAUACCCGAGUAGUC
Molecule: ribosomal RNA, 465 nt
Filed under: Vreelandella stevensii
Lineage: Bacteria; Pseudomonadati; Pseudomonadota; Gammaproteobacteria; Oceanospirillales; Halomonadaceae
Description: partial 16S ribosomal RNA
Rfam family: Bacterial small subunit ribosomal RNA
Source: RNAcentral